ACUCAAAGGAAUUGACGGGGGCCCGCACAAGCGGUGGAGCAUGUGGUUUAAUUCGAUGCUACGCGAAGAACCUUACCUACCCUUGAAUCCACGAAAGAUUGCAGAGAUGCGAUUGUGCCUUCGGGAAUCGUGAGACAGGUGCUGCAUGGCUGUCGUCAGCUCGUGUCGUGAGAUGUUGGGUUAAGUCCCUUAACGAGCGCAACCCUUGUCCUUAGUUACUAACGGGUAAUGCCGAGGACUCUAAGGAGACUGCCGGUGAUAAAUCGGAGGAAGGUGGGGACGAUGUCAAGUCAUCAUGGCCCUUACGGGUAGGGCUACACACGUGCUACAAUGGUUGGAACAAAAGGCCGCGAAAUCGCGAGAUGGAGCAAAUCCUCUAAAACCAAUCGUAGUCCGGAUUGGAGUCUGCAACUCGACUCCAUGAAGCUGGAAUCGCUAGUAAUCGUGGAUCAGAACGCCACGGUGAAUACGUUCUCGGGCCUUGUACACACCGCCCGU
This 498-nucleotide ribosomal RNA is filed under the name uncultured bacterium. RNAcentral describes it as "partial 16S ribosomal RNA". It matches the Rfam family "Bacterial small subunit ribosomal RNA", at positions 899 to 1397 of the family's 1533-position model. The record is from RNAcentral.